GAGGCGAGCCGGGGACUCGGGGCUCGAAGAGGUAGCCAAAAGGAGGCAGGCCGGGUGCUCGAGGCUUGGAGAGGCUGCCGACGACUCCGAGAAGCCGAAUCCGAUGGUGGGGGAAAGAGGGGGACUGGAAGCAAUUGAGGGGAGGCAGGCCAGGGGCUUAGGGAGCCAGCUCGGGCUCGGGCAGGCAGGAGGCAGUCGAGGGGUUUGGGAUCCGAUAGAUGAGGGCUCGGAUAGGUGACCG
RNAcentral lists this long non-coding RNA (241 nucleotides) under Elaeis guineensis (African oil palm). Its description in RNAcentral is "long non-coding RNA (EGUI_LNC024597)". Lineage: Eukaryota; Viridiplantae; Streptophyta; Magnoliopsida; Arecales; Arecaceae. The record is from RNAcentral.